UGUUAUGCGCCAAUUGGUUUGUGAUAGAUUUUCCACAGUAGGGGUAGCGGCAUUGACAUCAAACACCACAACUUGUUAGCGCAUGUAGUUCAUAGAGCCUCUUCAAUUUCAUCCAAAGAUCUUUCUAACAUUCUUUGUUUGACUAGGAACUCACAUGUUGGCAAAUUUUCAAAAACUAUAUGUGAAAUACAUGUAAGAAAGAGUAUUGCUUAUAAACUAUAUGAACUGACAUUAUAAAUUAAUUACCUGAUCAUUUUUUUUUUGUAGAAUAGAUCAUAAUUCUAUUCAUUGAAGUUUUCUUGAUCAGGACUCCAGUCAUCAAAAAUUUCUUUUCCCUUAUUCAAAUUCAUAUUUAUGUCUUGUUCUGUCUACAAGUUCAUUCAAUCAAACAAAUGACUUACAUGCUUAGACACAAAGUUUCAAUACAAUAGUUUAUAUUAAUACUUAAAUUUUUUCUUUUUGAGGUAGUAUCUAACAAAUUGAAAACUGUUAUACUUCAUUACUCCUCCUUGUUCUGUAGACCUUUGGAGAAACUGAAGGAUUGGUUGCUAUGUGAAAAUCUAUAAGCAGAGUGAGUUUACUGAAAUAUACAACAGUUAGCUGUACACAUUUGACUUUAACUUCUGUAAGUUAUUCAAGAACAGAGCUUUUCUUAACAGCAAAAGGGCUGUGUUCUAAGCAUACAAAGUCUAUUGGUCAAGCUGUGUCAAAGGAGUUCACUCCGGAAAGAUGGUUCUGCCUCAGGUCGACGCAAUUGAUGUUUAUUUGGAAUGCGUAUAUAUGUAUGGAUUGUUUAUCAGCAACGCGCCUCAUGACAUGUCACCUUCUGUGGACCGUUCUCUUUUUGGAAUGUUUGCUUUGGGGUAUGGUCGUGAUCCUCCACUCACUCUAUGAGUAACUCUCGUCGGUUAAUCCGUUUCAUAGCUCUUUAGAUUUUAAUUUUAUCGAUUCAACUGUUGAAUUAUCUUAACGAAAAUGUAUAUAUUGUUUGAAAAGUAUAUUCAAGCAAUAAUGAAUACCUACAUUCAGCAAGCUUCCAAAAUGCAAUCAGUACCUCCUCAAGAAAUGCCUUUCCCUAAUUUUUUCUUUAGAUGAUUGAAACAAAAAUUGAAAUUUCAAGAGCAAAUUACACAUCAAAAUAUUAAUAUCUUUUCCGCAGCAGAA
Molecule: long non-coding RNA, 1164 nt
Organism: Medicago truncatula (barrel medic)
Lineage: Eukaryota; Viridiplantae; Streptophyta; Magnoliopsida; Fabales; Fabaceae
Exons: 3
Source: RefSeq, a predicted model, not a curated record